GAUGAACGCUGGCGGCGUGCUUAACACAUGCAAGUCGAACGGUGAAGGCGGAGCUUGCUCUGCUGGAUCAGUGGCGAACGGGUGAGUAACACGUGAGCAAUCUGCCCCUGACUCUGGGAUAAGCGCUGGAAACGGCGUCUAAUACUGGAUACGAGCUGCGAAGGCAUCUUCAGCAGCUGGAAAGAACUUCGGUCAGGGAUGAGCUCGCGGCCUAUCAGCUUGUUGGUGAGGUAACGGCUCACCAAGGCGUCGACGGGUAGCCGGCCUGAGAGGGUGACCGGCCACACUGGGACUGAGACACGGCCCAGACUCCUACGGGAGGCAGCAGUGGGGAAUAUUGCACAAUGGGCGCAAGCCUGAUGCAGCGACGCCGCGUGAGGGAUGACGGCCUUCGGGUUGUAAACCUCUUUCAGCUCCGACGAAGCGCAAGUGACGGUAGGAGCAGAAGAAGCACCGGCCAACUACGUG
Molecule: ribosomal RNA, 468 nt
Filed under: uncultured bacterium
Lineage: Bacteria
Description: partial 16S ribosomal RNA
Rfam family: Bacterial small subunit ribosomal RNA
Source: RNAcentral